This 469-nucleotide ribosomal RNA is filed under the name uncultured bacterium. RNAcentral's name for it is "bacterial SSU rRNA". It matches the Rfam family "Bacterial small subunit ribosomal RNA", at positions 23 to 518 of the family's 1533-position model. The record is from RNAcentral.
CUCAGGAUGAACGCUGGCGGCGUGCUUAACACAUGCAAGUCGAGCGAUUCUCUUACGGAGAAGAGCGGCGGACGGGUGAGUAACGCGUGGGUAACCUGCCUCAUACACAUGGAUAACAUACCGAAAGGUAUGCUAAUACGAGGAUGACAUAAGAAAUUCACAUGGAUUUCUAUCAAAGCUCCGGCGGUAUGAGAUGGACCCGCGUCUGAUUAGCUAGUUGGUAAGGUAACGGCUUACCAAGGCGACGAUCAGUAGCCGACCUGAGAGGGUGAUCGGCCACAUUGGAACUGAGACACGGUCCAAACUCCUACGGGAGGCAGCAGUGGGGAAUAUUGCACAAUGGGCGAAAGCCUGAUGCAGCAACGCCGCGUGAGUGAUGAAGGCCUUCGGGUCGUAAAACUCUGUCCUCAAGGAAGAUAAUGACGGUACUUGAGGAGGAAGCCCCGGCUAACUACGUGCCAGCAGCCGC